This 374-nucleotide ribosomal RNA is filed under the name uncultured organism. RNAcentral describes it as "bacterial SSU rRNA". It matches the Rfam family "Bacterial small subunit ribosomal RNA", at positions 526 to 896 of the family's 1533-position model. The record is from RNAcentral.
CGGGGGGAGCAAGCGUUGUUCGGAUUUACUGGGCGUAAAGGGCGCGUAGGCGGCCACGACAAGUCAGUUGUGAAAUCUCUGGGCUUAACUCAGAACGGUCAACUGAUACUGUCGGGCUAGAGUGCAGAAGGGGCAACUGGAAUUCUCGGUGUAGCGGUGAAAUGCGUAGAUAUCGAGAGGAACACCUGCGGCGAAGGCGGGUUGCUGGGCUGACACUGACGCUGAGGCGCGAAAGCUAGGGGAGCGAACGGGAUUAGAUACCCCGGUAGUCCUAGCCUUAAACGAUGAAUGCUUGGUGUCUCGGGUUAUACAGUCCCGAGGUGCCGUCGCUAACGCAUUAAGCAUUCCGCCUGGGGAGUACGGUCGCAAGACUG